Chelonia mydas (Green sea turtle) is the source of this 6075-nucleotide long non-coding RNA. RefSeq lists it as uncharacterized. NCBI's taxonomy places the organism in Eukaryota, Metazoa, Chordata, Testudines, Cheloniidae. The transcript is spliced from 3 exons. The record is from RefSeq and is a predicted model, not a curated record.
CAGAGAGCAAAGGGUAGAGGGCAAAGGGGAGAAAGAUUUGGGUAUCACCGGGAGAGACAGGUGGGCCUAACUAGGUGGGCUGCUCUCCCCAAGGGGCUGCGUGACCGGGGAGCUGCCCUGUAGGCGGCUGGGCUGGGCUUUACUAGCUCCCCGGCCCAUGGCUGCUGGCUCUCCCCAUCCUGCCUCACACAGGCUUGCCCCACAUCUCGCCACCUCGCGUGGUGAGCAGGGCCCAGGUGAUGCUGGCGGGCAGAGGGGAGCACGUGGAAGCAUUUGCGGCCUCUGAAGAUGCACCCCCUCAGUUGGGAACUCAGCACCUGGCCUAGGUGCGCUGCUGGAUUCCCCGCUGACCUCUCGCAUAGCAGCAUCCACACGUAACGCUUUCUGCCCUCUUCAGUUGGCCAGGAGGCUCUGUCCCAGCCUGGUGGACGAUGACCAGGCCUGUGGUAUCCCACCUACUUCCGUCUGGACUAUAGCAAGGCCACGCUUGGCAUGAAGCCAUCCGCCCUUAGGAACUGCUGGUUAGUGCAAAACAGUGCAGCACAUCUGAUCAACAUGGGGUACUGCAAGCACAUCAGACUUGUUCUCUGCUUUCUAUGCUGGCUUCUUAUAGAAUAUAGGGUGAGCUUCAAGACGGUCCAUGGUCUGGACACAGGGUAGCUAAAAGGGCCUAAAGCUCUGGAAUGAAAACCGUGGUAACAUCUCCGCUCCUGUGGCACAAUGGAACUUUCCACAAUGAGGGUAAAGCACGUCGGUGCAGGAGACAGAGCUUUCUCCGGGCCCAAUCCAAGACCAGAUUGUGGAACAAACUCCACCAGGAAUUAAUAAUCAUCACAAACAUCACCACCUUCUGUUCCAAGGGCAAAGUGCACUUUUCUAACCUGCCUUCUUUAAUAUAAACCCAGAGCAGGGUGUAUGUUAAAAAAAAUAUCAAAACCCUGGAUUGCACACACAGUUGUCUCCAUGAGAAAACAGCAAGAACAACUCGCACGUCAGAUAUUAGUCAUACACUUACUGAAUGACUGAAAAGUGCUCAGGUACUAUGGUGAUGAAGGUGGUAUGAGAACCUUUAUAGAAUAGAUAGCCUGUCUGAGGGCAUUCCUGUGGACUGCGUAAGGCACUUGGAUAUGUGCAUCCAUGUAGGUGAUUUGGCAGGAGCCUGGAAGGCACACCUUAAUCCCCAUUAAAUGAAGACUGUGUCAGAAGCCAACCUCAUCUUUGACACAGAGGGGACAACAGGUCCCAGCAUGAAAUGUAGCAUCUGCACAGAACAAGAUACAGAGUUACCAACUCUUGGCAUUUGGGUGCUUUUACAUUGGCAUGACAGGGGAAUCAAGCCCUUAGGAUUCAGCCAAUAAAAUGCAUUGUGCUGCUGGGAUUUUUGUCCUUUAUCAUGUGCCUGAUUUACAUAUGCACAUGUAAUUAAAAUACUAGCCUGGUGCUGUAGACCGGAACCCCUCCAUGGACAACCUAGGGACCCCUGCUCUUCUGACUGCUUUGCCCUGGCUGUAGAUUGGUCUAUGCCCUGCCAAGAGGGAGAGCCAGGCACUCUGGCUUCAUGAGUUAUGAAAAGGUGGGGAGGGCAAGAGCGCUGGUACUGAGUCAUCUGGGGUGGAAAGGUGCCUUGUGUUGCUCGGACAACAUCGCUUGCUGGCUGCUCAGGAGCAGGAUGAGCUCCUCCAGUGCUCCUGGGUGAGGGACAGGCAUGCUGAGAUUGUGAGAUCCUUAAUGCCGGAGUGGAGCCGUCCCUUCUGGAGUGUUUAGAAAGUGCCUGGCACACCCUGGACGCAACUUUUCCUGAUCUGUGAAUGCUGGGGUAAGGAUGCCUGAAACAGGGAGGAUGUGAGGAUUAAUGACUGUCUGGAUAGAUUUGGAGAUCCUUAGCUGACAGAGAAUGCAGAGGGCCAUCGUUAUGAACAGAGUCAUCCGCUGAACUGCCCACAGCUCCCACUUUCACAGAGCUCCCCGGCUGCUGCCUACAGGACGUCCUUGUGACGAUACAAAGCCAUGUGUGAUUUUCUCCUGAUUUGGCACCAGUUCUAAAGAGUUGGAAAGCGAUCACCCCAAUUCAGGUGCGUGCCGUGAUUCCCCUCCCCCAAAAAAGGGGUGGGUUCCCAGAAGCAGGAAUUGAAAACAAUCCACAGCAAAGAAACCUGAGCAGGGAGGCAGGAUUGGGGUAGCUCUCCAGUGGCUCUGGCUGCAGUUCCAUAGUGCUUCUAUCUGGGUUGCAUCAGCUGCAUUCUACUCCCUGUCUUUUCCCCUCUGCAACCUGGCAGGAAAACAAGUCUUCCUCCCACCCCCAGUGAUACCAUGCCAGGCCAUCCCGUCUGUCCCUCCCCACAGCAGAUAGUGGGGUGUCACGCUCUCAGUGGAGCCUGUGAUGCAGCUGUCCCGAUUGCUGGUAUUCUUGCUACGGGAUUUUCCCAAGUGGUGCAUGCUACACACUUACAGGAAAAUGUCCAGCACAAACUGCUGGAAAUCCCAGAAGUGAACAGAGCUGCCUUAAAGCCAUGGAGAGUGGAGGCCUCCAGUUAUCCAAAGAGCAAUGUCAGGACAGCACUGGAGUCUCCCAUACACCAUCCCUCACCAUGGUGCCAUUGGGCGGGAUCCACUAGUUCCCACCAACAAGGGGGCCAGUGACUGAGUUGGACGCGUGGGGACUGGAAUGAGACCCAGCAAACUCAUGUCACACAAGGCACCAAACAGCCAUCCAAUGGGAACAAUGUUCAGUCACCGAUGACUUGGGCAGGGAAAGAAACCAGUGAACUGUCCCCAUGCCAUGCGCUGUCCAUUCCCCCUCCAUCUGUUUGAUUGGCAAUGCAUAUCGCAGAACAGCAGCAAAGCCAUUUCCAGUAGGGGAUGGUUAGCCCAGGGUAGGACCCCGCAGUCUCUCGUGGUCUAAGAAGUGAUGGUCUCUCUUCCACUGUCUGUGGAAUGGACAGUGACCAAUCUCCUUGAAAGUACCUCUGCUGGGGGAUGGCCGCAGAUGGAGUUCUCCCACGAGAUUUUGAAACCCUUUGAUGAAAGCUUUACACAGCUUUUAUUAUACAUGGCUGGAAAGGAACUUGCUGGACCGGUUUGGCGUUACCUUCCCGCAUCUCACACUGUGCAGGGGGAGAUCUCCCUCCCCCAGCCCAGGUAUCGAAGAGCAGCUGAAGUCUCUCUCACACAGUGCAGUGCAAUCUGAGAAAGCAGCCAGGUCUCUGUGGAUGCCUCUGAGCAGGAUUCUCCUCACUCACCUUCCUGAAACAAGAACCCAGCCUAACUGCAGGUCUGCAUUGGGGCCACCCCUUGCUAUCUCUCUGCAGAUGCCUCAUUCUCACAGCCAGGAGGAGGGUAGGGGCGGAGCAAAGCCAGCUGGGCCUACCGCUCCUCAGCCAGAUGGAAAGUCAGGGGAUUUCCAGGCUAUGGAAAAAACAGGAACUGGCUUUGUGUGACAGAGGUCGGGCCUCACCCUGACACAGCAGGUCUAAGGGCCUGACCUUGCAAGCGAACGAUUCACCGGAGUAAGGACUGCAGGAUCGGGACUACACAGGACAAGUAUCCUUACCUCCCUGAUAGCGGCCAUGACCCCUGAAGGUGCUGCUGAAGCCAGUCACAUGUUAAGCCUACCCCCAUGCAAGAGGCCUUUGUCUAUUUCACAGGUUUCCCUCCCCUCUGCAUGACACAAGCAGAGGAAUUAGAGCUGGAAGAUACUCUUUGAUCCCAUCUGAGCCCAUUUCUUCUUGGCCAGCACAUGAUGGUCCCUUACAGCACAUUCCCCAAUGCUUGGCCCCGGUCUAGUUUCAGGUGUUGCAAGCAACGGAGCUCCUUCCAUCACGCCCAUGUGGAAGAUUUCAUCACCAUCCACUGGCUCUUCCGGUAAGGAAGCGUCUCCCAAUAUUCAUUGUAAAUCAGCUAUGCCUCCAUUUCACUCCAGUGCUCCUCCUGUUGGUUUGUUUCUCUGAGCCUCUCUCUAUAGAUCUGACAAAGAGCUGCCAAGUCAUGCAGAGAGGAUAAUUGCCUUCCUCAGGAGUUUUCCCCAGAUUUCCUAGAAUCACAGUUUCAUGUCAGGCCAUUUCACAUCCAGAGAUUUUGAGUUUUCAUGAAAUAGCCCAUCUCGAGAACUGGUCUUUGCCUGAGGCACAGGGUACCUUCUCUUGAGCCAAAGAGAAAGGGAGUUUUCCCUGGCUGCUCCCCACUCCCGUUACCCCAGUGGGAGCAGACCUAGGCACAGAACAGAACAUAAAAUACAGCAGAUCUCUUGAAAGCAAAACCAAAAAGCCACUGAGCAGUGAAUUUCUAGCAUGUAGGACUUGUCAGACAGGAUCAAACCCCAGGUCCAUCUAGUCCAAUAGCCUGUCUCUGACAGAUGCUACAGAGAAAGGAAAGGGUAAAAAUCCCACAGUAGACAGAUGAACAAUAAUCUACCCUCCUUAUUGGUCUCAUACUGAUCUCUGAAAAGGCGAGGCUGAAACACCUUCUGGACUCCAGUGCCUUUCUGUCCUAACCCACUCACUGAUUUACAUGUCCAACCCUCGGGGAAUGAUGUCCCUGCUGCCAAUGGUGCUCAUUAACAUCCCUGAAAGGAGCACCUCCUAAUCUGCCCAUUCAGAUUAACAGGGACAGUUGGGGGAGAGGUUUUAAUUUCAUCCCUGCCUGAAGACUCCCUCCACCCUUCAUCGCAGGAGGAGAAAUAGAUGGUUGCAGAGACAUAGAUGAGCAAGGAAGCACAAAGGGGCUAGGGCUGUAGAGAAAGGAAGUCAGUGCCCAAGAACUUGGCUAGGUGUUCAGUGCUGGGGAAGCGAACCAGCUGGGGGGCCUGAAUUCCUGAAAGACUUUUUAGUGGGGCUAUGCCAAUGCAACCAUAGGUUAAAGGGUGGGUACAGUGAGAAAGCGGUGGGAGUCAGGGGAGAAGGCGGGGGGAGGCUGUAACAUGCGCCCUCCCCACAAGGGAGAAGAUGAACAUCUAGUGAUCCGCCUUGCAAUGCAGAUGAAAUGACUAUUCAAUGGAAUGUGGAGUUCCUCACAGCUGCUGGGAUCCGGAACAUAUCUCUGAUCCUCCCAGCAACAGAGGAGAGGCCGGUGAGGUGGCCUGGGCUUGAGUUUUCUUCUUGUGAUGGAUGGCUGCAAAUGUGUAGAUGCAUGAAACAAGUCCAUCAGAUCUCCUGUGCAGGUGAAGGGGGGGACUGUGGGAGGAGGGAUCCCGGAUUCUUCCACUCCUCAUGGCGGAGACUGCACGGAUUUUACCUUUCAGUCUAACUCUUCAACCACUGCAGUUUCUUAUUCAUUAUUAUUCGCACGGCAGUAACACCUAGAGGCCACAACCAGGGAUCAGGCCCCGGGGAUCAGCACGAGGUGCAGCACAUACACACAUAAUAAAGGAUGGCCUCUGCCCAAAGGGCCUCACAAUCAAGUAUAAGAUGAGACAUCAGACCAAUACAGCAAAUAGCCGGGGAAAACCCAAGGUAACAGUGAGGUGAUUAUGUUGAAUGUCGUAAGUCGUAGUCACAGCAGACCGGCUGCCUAGGGAUUGUCAAUUAUAGGAGGAGACCGUUUAAUUGCAGAACAGACUCUAAUAUUUAUGCUUCCAGUAUAUGUAUUUAUUCAUCUCUAUAUUACAUUAAACAAAAUAGCUCUGGGACUCUUUAAACUCUUAAAAAUACAUCUUGAAACAAACAGACUCCAGCAAUCAUUCCCAAGGGACACAGAUGGCAUUCUUAAAGCAGAAGCAGGCAGCGUAUUCACUGCCUGUCCUAGCUACCAGUGGGGAGAGAUCUGCAGUCUAGCAAGGAUGCACAUACUGUAACACAUUUCCAAGGUGUUCAUAUAUCCCAGCACUAGCACUGGCUGUGGCAUAAGGACCAGAAAAGAAUCACACAUUAAAGGGAUAUGGUUUAACAGUCAACGCCCCCAUGUUUGGUCCUGGAAAGAAAAGAUUUUACAAAGCCAGCAGCUGCCUUGAAAUUGUUUUGUUGAAAUCACAUACAAAUGAACUAAGUUACUGGCUAUAAACGUUCACCAUCAGCGUUAGAAUCCCUAACACAACAAGCUCUGUGCCUGGGUCUGAAAGUGAAAGUGCCCGGAAGAUACCAA